UACGGAGGAUCCAAGCGUUAUCCGGAAUCAUUGGGUUUAAAGGGUCCGUAGGCGGUUUGGUAAGUCAGUGGUGAAAGCCCAUCGCUCAACGGUGGAACGGCCAUUGAUACUGCCAGACUUGAAUUAUUAGGAAGUAACUAGAAUAUGGUAGUGUAGCGGUGAAAUGCUUAGAGAUUACAUGGAAUACCAAUUGCGAAGGCAGGUUACUACUAAUGGAUUGACGCUGAUGGACGAAAGCGUGGGUAGCGAACAGG
Molecule: ribosomal RNA, 254 nt
Filed under: uncultured bacterium
Lineage: Bacteria
Description: partial 16S ribosomal RNA
Rfam family: Bacterial small subunit ribosomal RNA
Source: RNAcentral